Molecule: non-coding RNA, 191 nt
Organism: Desulfotomaculum sp. 46_296
Lineage: Bacteria; Bacillati; Bacillota; Clostridia; Eubacteriales; Desulfotomaculaceae
Source: Rfam
UUUAUGGAGAGUUUGAUCCUGGCUCAGGACUAACGCUGGCGGCGUGCUUAACACAUGCAAGUCGAACGGUCUGGCAACUAACUUCGGUUGGAUGUCAGAUAGUGGCGGACGGGUGAGUAACGCGUGGAUAACCUGCCCAUCAGACAGGGAUAACACCGGGAAACUGGUGCUAAUACCGGAUACGUACGUAA